This 162-nucleotide small nuclear RNA is filed under the name Echinops telfairi (small Madagascar hedgehog). RNAcentral describes it as "U1 spliceosomal RNA (ENSETEG00000021911.1)". It matches the Rfam family "U1 spliceosomal RNA". From Rfam's summary of the family: U1 is a small nuclear RNA (snRNA) component of the spliceosome (involved in pre-mRNA splicing). Its 5' end forms complementary base pairs with the 5' splice junction, thus defining the 5' donor site of an intron. There are significant differences in sequence and secondary structure between metazoan and yeast U1 snRNAs, the latter being much longer (568 nucleotides as compared to 164 nucleotides in human). Lineage: Eukaryota; Metazoa; Chordata; Mammalia; Afrosoricida; Tenrecidae. The record is from RNAcentral.
AUACUUACCUGGCAGGGGAGAUCCCAUGAUCACGAAGGUGGAUUUCCCAGGGCGAGGCUCACCCACUGCACUCCGGGUGUGCUGACCCCUGCGAUUUCCCCAGAUGUGGGAAACGAUUGCAUAAUCUGUGGUAGUGGGGGACUGCGUUCACACUCUCCCCUG